Molecule: ribosomal RNA, 223 nt
Filed under: uncultured bacterium
Lineage: Bacteria
Description: partial 16S ribosomal RNA
Rfam family: Bacterial small subunit ribosomal RNA
Source: RNAcentral
CGGACGGGUGAGGAACACGUAAGAACCUACCCCUAGGAGGAGGAUAACUGCUGGAAACGGCAGCUAAUACUCCAUAUGCUGAGGAGCAAAACGGGGGGAACCCCUGCCUAGGGAUGGGCUUGCGUCUGAUUAGCUAGUUGGUGAGGUAAAUGCUUACCAAGGCGACGAUCAGUAGCUGGUCUGAGAGGAUGAUCAGCCACACUGGGACUGAGACACGGCCCAG